Molecule: long non-coding RNA, 517 nt
Organism: Xenia sp. Carnegie-2017
Lineage: Eukaryota; Metazoa; Cnidaria; Anthozoa; Malacalcyonacea; Xeniidae
Exons: 2
Source: RefSeq, a predicted model, not a curated record
GAAACAGGUUGAAAACAUUGAGAGAAGAAAGAAAGUGGCGAAGAGAUGGAAACCUGGGGAGAGAGAAUUUAAUACGGCAGCUUUGUCGCUGGAGCUGAAACGGAAUGAGUCUUGUUACAUGAUAAUACAUAAUCAUGAAAAGCUUACGUAUAGGACGUGGUCAACCUACUGACCACAGACAACGUACAGGACAUGGGUAAUCAACUGACCACAGUUUUACGCAAAAGCGGUUAAUCGUACGUCAUUGUGCAAUCACAUAUAAGCCGAGAAUCGAAAGCUGUAGUGAUGUUGGUGCUUAGUAGAAGUCCACAUCGGAAGAAAGCCUCGUGUAAAAGAAAACGAACUAUUUACGAAGAUAACCAAAGAAUCCAGAUAUAUAACCUAUCCAUCAACGAAAGAGUCACUGAAAGUCUGAAAGCAGUUGUCUUAGAUAAGUUUGAACAUUUAAACAUAUAUAUUAUAACGAUUAUAUCAAAUUAUUAGUAUAUUAAAUAAAUAUCUUAAGAAUUGACAACAA